RNAcentral lists this ribosomal RNA (253 nucleotides) under uncultured bacterium. Its description in RNAcentral is "partial 16S ribosomal RNA". It matches the Rfam family "Bacterial small subunit ribosomal RNA", at positions 524 to 776 of the family's 1533-position model. The record is from RNAcentral.
UACGGAGGGUGCAAACGUUGCUCGGAAUCAUUGGGCGUAAAGCGCAUGUAGGCGGACUUUCAAGUCGGGUGUGAAAUCCCUCAGCUUAACUGAGGACGUGCAUUCGAAACUGAUAGUCUUGAAUAUGGAAGAGGGUCGCGGAAUUCCCGGUGUAGAGGUGAAAUUCGUAGAUAUCGGGAGGAACACCAGUGGCGAAGGCGGCGACCUGGUCCAAUAUUGACGCUGAGAUGCGAAAGCGUGGGGAGCAAACAGG